This is a long non-coding RNA of Rhineura floridana, 1496 nucleotides long. RefSeq lists it as uncharacterized. The record is from RefSeq and is a predicted model, not a curated record. NCBI's taxonomy places the organism in Eukaryota, Metazoa, Chordata, Lepidosauria, Squamata, Rhineuridae. The transcript is spliced from 3 exons.
CAGCAGGAGCUGCGUUGAGCUGCUGUGAAUCUUUUAAAUCUGUCCGCGACACAUGAUUGGGGGUUUCCGAAAACACAGUGUAGCCUCUGUGGGGCCGCAGCUUGAAACACUUGAGGCAGACAGCUACGUCCCCGCCCCAACCUCAAGCCAAGCUCUCGUCUCCGUUCAAAUCUCUGCAAGGAUCCCAGCUCCUUUCCCCAGCGCCGCACAAUCUUACCCAAGGCUUUCCAGCUUCUCUUCGCCCCCCUGCAUGGAAGUCGCGGGGCUACAAGGAAAGCAGAGGAAGGCGAGGCAAAGCUCCUAGGCGAUUCCGCAUCCACAGCGACCUGGCAGCGGCAACGGGACACGUUAGCCACGGCGUGAGGGGCCACUUUCCCACCAGCCCAAAAAGAGAGGGGGACGAAGUCAGCCAGCCGAGAGGGGAAAACAGUAGCAUACAAGGCCCGUCAGGAACUACUGCACCUCAGAGCAACCCCUUGUCAGGCAGCCGUAGGAAGCAAAGGGGCUUCCCUCAGGGUUGGCCAAAAAACUUAAAAAAUAAUGAUCUGCUUCACCCGCUGCUGCUCCCACAGUUCACAAGCGAGGCCCCACCCCCUUGGCUCGACUUCUCGCACAGCACCCGCCUCGCUUUUGAAAUGGGCGGGACGGUGGCCACGACCAACACGCUCGUCCGUGGAAGCGUCUUGGGUCGCGCCCCGUCACGUAUAAACGCGCCAACCGUGAGAUUCGGGGUACGCUCCUCACACGAAUGGCCCGACUCUACGUUCAUUCGUGGCAGGGUGCACCCCAACCGCCUCCACGGACCAGCCUUUUGCCCGUGGCCGCUGUUUCCGGCCUGACACUUCGUUCUUCUUUUGCUUUAGUAUUCUGUCGGUUUUGUAAUCAAAAGAUUUUUUUUUAAGCAAACUUUUGUUUAUUUAUUUAUUUAGAGACGUAUUCAACAGGGAAGAUUUCCUUGUGGUGGGAAAAUCUGCUAAUAUUACUACGUCUCCGUGUUUUAAUUUCUGAAAACGGGGAGGUUACAGCAAACCCGGAAGUCACGCUGUCUGUUCUGAGAGCCCUUCUUCCUAUAAUCUCAAAAUACAAGGGCUGGUGGUGGUUGCGGUAUCAGUAGAGGGGGGGAAAUCAUUCUGCAUACGGUUUAAUAUAUUCUUACAGUAUACUGCCGGGUCCGGAACUAUUGAAAGUGCGGGUUGUUGGUUUUUAUCUGUGCUUUUUCAAAAAGCAACCAGCUCCUUGUAACCUACCAGGAUUGAUAAACUCUUGAAGCUGCCAGCCAAUAUUCACGAUGGGUGAGAUCGAGACAUUUGGUAUUAUCUGCUUAGAACGAGAUACUCAGAAGAAAACUAAGCCCCAUUGAGCUCAACUGAAUUUAUGGGCAGAGAUCAACAGUUUAAUAGCAAAACCACAGGACUAGAGAAAGGAUAAUGCAUCAACUUAUGCUUGACUGAGAUCAGACCCAAACGUGCCCAUACUUGAGUAGCAAGACGUUUAAG